UCGCCAGUAGGAUAAAUUAUUGGUAGUGCCUGCUCAGUGCCCACGUGGUAAACAGCCGCUGUAUUUUGACGGUGCUAAGGUAGCGAAAUUCCUAGCCUUUUAAUUGGAGGCCUGCAUGAAUGGUUUGACGAGCGCUUAACUGUCUCUUUUUCAUGGUAGUGAAUUUAGCUUUUGUGUGCAAAGACACAGAUAACUAAGUAAGACGAAAAGACCCUGUGCAACUUUACUAAAAAGUGGGUUAUCUUCAUAGAUAGUUUAGCUGGGGCAGCUUGGGAAAAAACAAAAUUUCCCUAGAUUUAAAGGACUGUUAGGUUUAGAUCCGGGUUUAAUAGGCCGAUCAAUAGAAAAGUUACGCCAGGGAUAACAGCGUUAUCCUUCUGUGGAGGCCUUAUCUGCAGGGGGGAUUGCGACCUCGAUGUUGAAUUAGGGAUAUAGCGAAAAGGCGCAGCAGCUUUUUUUGUGGGUCUGUUCGAUCUUUAAAACCCUACGUGAUCUGAGUUCAGACC
Molecule: ribosomal RNA, 506 nt
Filed under: Atrina rigida
Lineage: Eukaryota; Metazoa; Mollusca; Bivalvia; Pterioida; Pinnidae
Description: partial 16S ribosomal RNA
Rfam family: Bacterial large subunit ribosomal RNA
Source: RNAcentral